CACACCCCCUGGGCUUAGAAUCAUCACAUAACCAUAGCCACUCCCCCAGUUCCUCCCAAUAACCACGCCCCCUCCUGUUUCUGCUACUGGAUACAAUGUAUACACUGACAGCUUAUUAUGUGACCAUGUUUUUAUUGGUGGAUACUGUAUCUAUAAUGUUGUUUAUGGAAUUUCUUUUGUGACGGAUUAUUAAUAAAGAUU
This is a non-coding RNA of Pelobates cultripes (western spadefoot toad), 201 nucleotides long. The record is from the annotation of a GenBank genome assembly. Lineage: Eukaryota; Metazoa; Chordata; Amphibia; Anura; Pelobatidae.